UACGGAGGAUGCAAGCGUUAUCCGGAUUUAUUGGGUUUAAAGGGUGCGUAGGCGGCGACAUAAGUCAGUGGUGAAAUAUUCCGGCUCAACCGGGAGACUGCCAUUGAAACUGUGUUGCUAGAAUAUGGUUGCUGUGGGUGGAAUGUGUGGUGUAGCGGUGAAAUGCUUAGAUAUCACACAGAAUAUCGAUUGCGAAGGCAGCUCACAAAGCCAUUAUUGACGCUGAGGCACGAAAGUGUGGGGAUCAAACAGGAUUAGAUACCCUGGUAGUCCACACCGUAAACGAUGAUAACUCGCUGUCGGCGAUACACAGUCGGUGGCCAAGCGAAAGCGAUAAGUUGUCCACCUGGGGAGUACGACCGCAAGGUUGAA
RNAcentral lists this ribosomal RNA (372 nucleotides) under uncultured bacterium. RNAcentral describes it as "bacterial SSU rRNA". It matches the Rfam family "Bacterial small subunit ribosomal RNA", at positions 524 to 898 of the family's 1533-position model. The record is from RNAcentral.